CCUACGGGGGGCAGCAGUGAGGAAUAUUGGUCAAUGGCCGCAAGCCUGAACCAGCCAAGUCGCGUGAAGGACGACUGCCCUAUGGGUUGUAAACCUCUUUUAUAAGGGAAGAAUAAAUGCUACGUGUAGCAUUAUGCCUGUACCUUAUGAAUAAGCAUCGGCUAACUCCGUGCCAGCAGCCGCGGUAAUACGGAGGAUCCGAGCGUUAUCCGGAUUUAUUGGGUUUAAAGGGUGCGUAGAUGGGUUUUUAAGUUAGUUGUUAAAGCUUGGGGCUUAAACUUUAAUUUGCAAUUAAUACUGUAAGCCUCGAGUUCAGACGAGGUAGGCGGAAUAAGUGAAGUAGCGGUGAAAUGCUUAGAUAUAACGAAGAACUCCGAUAGCGAAGGCAGCUUACCAGACUGCGACUGACACUGAUGCACGAGAGCGUGGGUAUCGAACAGGAUUAGAUACCCGAGUAGUC
RNAcentral lists this ribosomal RNA (460 nucleotides) under uncultured bacterium. RNAcentral describes it as "partial 16S ribosomal RNA". It matches the Rfam family "Bacterial small subunit ribosomal RNA", at positions 338 to 795 of the family's 1533-position model. The record is from RNAcentral.